RNAcentral lists this ribosomal RNA (1475 nucleotides) under Lactiplantibacillus plantarum. Its description in RNAcentral is "bacterial SSU rRNA". It matches the Rfam family "Bacterial small subunit ribosomal RNA". Lineage: Bacteria; Bacillati; Bacillota; Bacilli; Lactobacillales; Lactobacillaceae. The record is from RNAcentral.
CCCAUGGCGGGGUUGCCUAAUACAUGCAAGUCGAACGAACUCUGGUAUUGAUUGGUGCUUGCAUCAUGAUUUACAUUUGAGUGAGUGGCGAACUGGUGAGUAACACGUGGGAAACCUGCCCAGAAGCGGGGGAUAACACCUGGAAACAGAUGCUAAUACCGCAUAACAACUUGGACCGCAUGGUCCGAGUUUGAAAGAUGGCUUCGGCUAUCACUUUUGGAUGGUCCCGCGGCGUAUUAGCUAGAUGGUGGGGUAACGGCUCACCAUGGCAAUGAUACGUAGCCGACCUGAGAGGGUAAUCGGCCACAUUGGGACUGAGACACGGCCCAAACUCCUACGGGAGGCAGCAGUAGGGAAUCUUCCACAAUGGACGAAAGUCUGAUGGAGCAACGCCGCGUGAGUGAAGAAGGGUUUCGGCUCGUAAAACUCUGUUGUUAAAGAAGAACAUAUCUGAGAGUAACUGUUCAGGUAUUGACGGUAUUUAACCAGAAAGCCACGGCUAACUACGUGCCAGCAGCCGCGGUAAUACGUAGGUGGCAAGCGUUGUCCGGAUUUAUUGGGCGUAAAGCGAGCGCAGGCGGUUUUUUAAGUCUGAUGUGAAAGCCUUCGGCUCAACCGAAGAAGUGCAUCGGAAACUGGGAAACUUGAGUGCAGAAGAGGACAGUGGAACUCCAUGUGUAGCGGUGAAAUGCGUAGAUAUAUGGAAGAACACCAGUGGCGAAGGCGGCUGUCUGGUCUGUAACUGACGCUGAGGCUCGAAAGUAUGGGUAGCAAACAGGAUUAGAUACCCUGGUAGUCCAUACCGUAAACGAUGAAUGCUAAGUGUUGGAGGGUUUCCGCCCUUCAGUGCUGCAGCUAACGCAUUAAGCAUUCCGCCUGGGGAGUACGGCCGCAAGGCUGAAACUCAAAGGAAUUGACGGGGGCCCGCACAAGCGGUGGAGCAUGUGGUUUAAUUCGAAGCUACGCGAAGAACCUUACCAGGUCUUGACAUACUAUGCAAAUCUAAGAGAUUAGACGUUCCCUUCGGGGACAUGGAUACAGGUGGUGCAUGGUUGUCGUCAGCUCGUGUCGUGAGAUGUUGGGUUAAGUCCCGCAACGAGCGCAACCCUUAUUAUCAGUUGCCAGCAUUAAGUUGGGCACUCUGGUGAGACUGCCGGUGACAAACCGGAGGAAGGUGGGGAUGACGUCAAAUCAUCAUGCCCCUUAUGACCUGGGCUACACACGUGCUACAAUGGAUGGUACAACGAGUUGCGAACUCGCGAGAGUAAGCUAAUCUCUUAAAGCCAUUCUCAGUUCGGAUUGUAGGCUGCAACUCGCCUACAUGAAGUCGGAAUCGCUAGUAAUCGCGGAUCAGCAUGCCGCGGUGAAUACGUUCCCGGGCCUUGUACACACCGCCCGUCACACCAUGAGAGUUUGUAACACCCAAAGUCGGUGGGGUAACCUUUUAGGAACCAGCCGCCUAAGGUGACAGAAGG